RNAcentral lists this ribosomal RNA (253 nucleotides) under uncultured bacterium. RNAcentral describes it as "partial 16S ribosomal RNA". It matches the Rfam family "Bacterial small subunit ribosomal RNA", at positions 524 to 776 of the family's 1533-position model. The record is from RNAcentral.
GACGUAGGGCGCGAGCGUUGUCCGGAUUUAUUGGGCGUAAAGAGCUCGUAGGCGGCUUGUCGCGUCGUCCGUGAAAACCCACAGCUCAACUGUGGGCUUGCGGUCGAUACGGGCAGGCUGGAGUUCGGUAGGGGAGACUGGAAUUCCUGGUGUAGCGGUGAAAUGCGCAGAUAUCAGGAGGAACACCGGUGGCGAAGGCGGGUUGCUGGGCUGAUACUGACGCUGAGGCGCGAAAGCCAGGGGAGCGAACGGG